This 1907-nucleotide long non-coding RNA is filed under the name Vigna radiata. RNAcentral describes it as "long non-coding RNA (VRAD_LNC009259)". Lineage: Eukaryota; Viridiplantae; Streptophyta; Magnoliopsida; Fabales; Fabaceae. The record is from RNAcentral.
UGAUUAGAUAGGAUUAGGUGUAUGGUUUACGGUGGUGAGGUUGAGAGAAGAACCUUCAUUCAUUGCUUUGAACAAGUGUGUCACGACUAGUAGAGGGAUUUUAGAAGCAAUUGCAAUUUUAAUUUCUUUUGGGAGGUGCAAAUGGUUACAUUAAAUGGUAGAAGCAACUUUAUGUUUUCAUAUUUUUCUUUUGCCUCAGAAUAUUUUACAUUACAUGUUUAAUUGUUUUUCAUCUUUUAAAUUGAGUGUUGCAUUUUAAUAGCUUUAAUUGCGUUUCGAUAUUUGUCUUUUGCAUUGUUUAGUUUACUCUUUCAGUUCACUAUGUUGUCUUUUAUGUUCGGUUUAUUGUUCCUGUUCACUAUGAUUUUUACUCUGUUCGGUUUCUUUAUCUUCCUGCAUUUCCAAUUUUCCCAUAUGCUUUAGAGAUCGUUCGAUUUCAAUGUAGAAUCGUUCGGUCAUCUGUAGGACCGUUUGGUCUUCUUGCCUGUUCAUUUAUUUAAAUGUUUUCAAUUAUGUUUGGUCGUAUUUAAUUCGCUUAAUACCUCCAUUGGUCCUCAUAUUUGUGUGCAAAUCUCAGUUUGGCCCUCAAGUUUUGAACUGUCUCAAUUAAGUCAUAAUUUUUGUAAAAAUGCACACAUUUUACCCUAACCGUUAAGUUGUCUCAAACGGCGUUAAUUGAUGUUGAGAUGAUUUUUAUUUUUUUUUAGGCUUAAUCCCUCUCUUGGUCCUUAUGUUUGUGUGAAAAUCUCAGUUCGGUCCUCAAGUUUUGAACUGUCUCAAUUGGGUCAUAAUUUUUGAACUGUCGACAACGACGACAUUUUUUAGUUUGAGAGGGAGAAAAGGUGUGAGUCGGGGGGUUUGAAGGUUUGAGGGUGGAGGAAUGAGUGAAAUAUGAUCAGUGAUUGGAAGGAAAAAGAAAGAGCAUAGCCACGUGGAUUUAAUGAUUUUAAAACAUAAAAAAAAAAUUACAGCUCAAUUCAAAGUUAACGCCGUCUCAAUACACUUAACGGUUGGGGUAAAAUGUUUGCAUUUCAUAAGGACUUGAGGAAAAAGUGUGAUAAGUGAUUGGAAGGAAAAAGAAAGACCAUAGCCACGUGGAUUUAAUAAUUUUAAAACAAAAAAAAAUUACAACUCAAUUCAAAGUUAAUGUCGUCUCAAUACACUUAAUGGUUGGGGUAAAAUGUUGUAAAAUGUUUGCAUUUCAUAAGGACUUGAGGAAAAACUUAAGGACUGAACUAAGAUUUUCACACAAACAUAAGGACCAAGGGAGGAAUUAAGCCUAAAAUAAAAAAUUCAUCUCAGCAUCAAUUAACACCGUUUGAGACAACUUAACGGUUAGGGUAAAAUGUGUGCAUUUUUACAAAAAUUAUGACCCAAUUGAGACAAUUCAAAACUUGAGGACCAAACUGAGAUUGACAUACAAAUAUGAGGACCAAUGGAGGUAUUAAGCCUAUUUAAUUUAAUUUUCCUUGCAAGAACAGUUUCAAACCCCCCCACUACGUGUUAGACCUAAGACUCGAACCGCAUUUAGUCCUUGAGAGACGACCUAGGAGUCACUUCCUAGUCUAUACUGCAUUCUUUAUGCACAUUAAAUUUGUAUGGGGUGCGACACCCAUCAAAUUUUGGCGCCGUUGCCGGGGACCAACGGUUCAGUCUUAGGUCUUUUGUUGUGUUAGUGUGUGUUGUGUUUUGUCUUGUCUUGUGAGUGUGAUGUUCUGUUUUAUGUGUGGUGUCAUGUGUGUUGCAUUUAGAUAGUUGUAGUUGCAUAUUUUAACUGCAUUCUUCUUUUCCCCCUACUUUCUUUUUCCAUGUCUACCUAUUUUGAUUCAGUGAAUGAUGCUUAUUCUGCCAGCACCUGUGAUUAUGAUUUUCCUCCUGCAUAUUGCUCUGAUUAUGGUUCUCCUGCU